AUUGAACGCUGGCGGCAGGCCUAACACAUGCAAGUCGAACGGUAGCACAGAGGAGCUUGCUCCUUGGGUGACGAGUGGCGGACGGGUGAGUAAUGUCUGGGAAACUGCCCGAUGGAGGGGGAUAACUACUGGAAACGGUAGCUAAUACCGCAUAACGUCGCAAGACCAAAGAGGGGGACCUUCGGGCCUCUUGCCAUCGGAUGUGCCCAGAUGGGAUUAGCUAGUAGGUGGGGUAACGGCUCACCUAGGCGACGAUCCCUAGCUGGUCUGAGAGGAUGACCAGCCACACUGGAACUGAGACACGGUCCAGACUCCUACGGGAGGCAGCAGUGGGGAAUAUUGGACAAUGGGCGCAAGCCUGAUCCAGCCAUACCGCGUGGGUGAAGAAGGCCUUCGGGUUGUAAAGCCCUUU
Molecule: ribosomal RNA, 412 nt
Filed under: uncultured Enterobacterales bacterium
Lineage: Bacteria; Pseudomonadati; Pseudomonadota; Gammaproteobacteria; Enterobacterales
Description: bacterial SSU rRNA
Rfam family: Bacterial small subunit ribosomal RNA
Source: RNAcentral